UCCUGAAAUAAGGAUAUAUGAAGUCAAGUAUUAAAGACUGUUGACUGAACCCAAUCAGAAGCUGUAGAAUCCUUAAUGCAACCUAUACCCACACCAGCCAUAUGGAAAUUCGCCUCCAUCCCAUGAUUAACAAGAUAACAAGAAAUGGAAAUAAUUUGCCUCCAUCCUAUGAUUAAAAGGAUAACAAGAAAUGGUCAGAAAACUGGCAUCCAUAUCCUGUGUAUUCUCUGGAUCUGGACAUGUCCCCACAGACUGGCAGGAAAUCCAGGUCACCUGCUUCUCAGCUACUGUGGCAGCUCCAGGACCUCAAAGAAUACUGUUAUUGGAGAGACAUUUUCCUGAUUCACUUUCCAGGAAGCAAGAAGAAUCUUCGUAGCUAGUUAUACAAAAGAUAACAGAAGAUUAAAAACCCACCAGUUCUGUUUACAUAUUCUUAACAAAAGAUGUUUUGUUUGACCUCAAGAUCAGCUGCUAUCCAACGGUAUGCAGUAAACUUACUGAAAUCAUUUUAUAACAGAACUAGAAUUGCUAUGACUAUUAAGUAAAUAAGGAACUAUGUGUGAGCCAUGUCCAUUGGGUUAGAAGAAGUAGUAACGUCACAUCUGCCUUGUUGCUUAUAUACAGAAGGGCUUUAUUCUUCUCUUAUUUACACCCACUUCCUUGAACACAAUAAUUAUGGUUAAGACAUUUCAGCACUCGUAUCUCCUUUGGAAAGUUCCACUUUUUAGAGGUCAUAUUUCAGGUAAAACAUUUUCAUCAUUCUGUUUGGGUGAACUUGUCAGAGGCCAUGCCUGUUGUGUACUGCAGGCACUCUAUAUUUGCCAAACUUGUCUCAGGCACAAUGACAAUUUUAGUAGAAAAUGGGAGCGUGUAUUAAUAAAUUGAAAUUGAAUUUUGAAUUGGACUGUAG
This is a non-coding RNA of Pelodiscus sinensis (Chinese soft-shelled turtle), 910 nucleotides long. The record is from RefSeq and is a predicted model, not a curated record. NCBI's taxonomy places the organism in Eukaryota, Metazoa, Chordata, Testudines, Trionychidae.